GGGGCAGUGGAAGGAUUUGACUGCUUGCAACCACGAUAAAAAAUGCUAAAUACAGCACA
RNAcentral lists this non-coding RNA (59 nucleotides) under unclassified sequences. The record is from RNAcentral. RNAcentral also lists the same sequence under 1 other name.